This is an RNA transcript of Hypomesus transpacificus, 5207 nucleotides long. RefSeq lists it as uncharacterized. The transcript has 4 exons. The record is from RefSeq and is a predicted model, not a curated record. NCBI's taxonomy places the organism in Eukaryota, Metazoa, Chordata, Actinopteri, Osmeriformes, Osmeridae.
GGGUGGCACCCAGGGUGGCCAAUCAGAUGUCAGGGGUGUCCAGUGCCACCCCGGACACCCCUCUGGCUCCGCUACUGCGAUGUACGGCAGCAUAUUGCUGCUACACCAGAAAAGGGAUCAGUAUCACGUUAUAACGUGAUGUUUCUUGUUAUAACAAGAUAUUUAUAAUAUUAUAACAAGUUAUUUUCAUGUUAUAACAUGAUGCAAACGUAUCACGUUAUGACAAGAAACAUAUUUAUCAUGUUAUAACGUGAUACAAACUUAUCACAUUAUUUCAAUAGUUCGUAUCCAGUGUGCAGAGAAGGGAUACAUUGAGGAACAUGGCUCAUUUACAAGACUUGGUUAAGUUUUACUUCAUGCUUGGGCUGAGACUUGGCGAGAUUCUGCUUUUAUUGAGCACGGUGAAUGAUAUUUUGAUAAGUAUUGAAGACGUAUUAGAUAAUACCCAAUUGCUCUGAAAGUGCCAAGUCAAUGAAAGGAAUAGUUAAGAUGAGUUCAAGACAAAAUCAAUGUAUUUAUUACAAAUGUAAUAACACACUCAAGUCGAGUAUCACAGAAGACUGGACAAAUGAAUGCAGGAAAUAAAGGGAGUUAAAUAGGAUCACCAUAUGGGAGGAUACAAGAUGAUUAACCUUGCCUUUGCAGGCACUGAAAAAGGACACUGUAUGCCAGAUAACUUUUGUUUAGGUCUUUAGAUAGGGCUCCUAGAAACGGCCUUGUCACUCCUUCUAUUUGCCUCAUUCAAAGUUGCAUGGCAUUAUACACUUUGGUAAUAUUGUGACCUCUGACUUACAUCAGCGACACAGGCCUUUCAUAGUCACACCUUACAAAAACCCAACUUAUGGCUAUGCAGGUAUAAUAAAACUGAAUAAUAACAGUUUAUCAAUGAUACAAGAAACAUAAUUAAUAGAUAGGCAGAUUAUGUGCUCAUGAGCUUAAUAUUGCAAGGUAUAGAUCAAACAUUGUUUAUUAUAUUCAGAACAUUUCAAACAGUAUAGAAAUAAUAAAGUAAUUAUUAUCUUUAAUUGUUGUUAACUGAUCAGUGGUUUAAGGACAGACCUCUUCAAUAUGCAUACAUUAAGAAUAAUUUUAAAAUGCAUGGGGCUGUACAGAAGGAAGAAUGAGUCUGACCCUCUGGAGGGAGCAUCAUUUCUCAAUGAUCAGCUGGAGGGGCACGGGAAGCUUACUGGAUACAAGCUACACCAUCUAAACUGCAUCCAAGCUAGGUAUGUUCUGACCCAAAGUACAGUGAGGCAUUUGUUAAAGUUUCUAGACUCCCGUGGUGUUGAUCAAAGACGGAAAAAUUGCCUGAGGCGACGCAUGUACGUUACAGUUUUUCUUAAUCGAUUUGGUACAUUUCUCCAAACUCAGGUAACUGCUCUCAAAACAUUUAACACAGUGAUCUGUACACUUUGUAUUUGUCCUAAACAGAUUGUAAAUUCUCCUCAAUUUCAUACAAAUUACAGAUCAAAAGCAUAAUUUUCUCAAAACACUGUGCACAAAAUUCCCUAACGUUAUCACAGCAGUUCAUACAGCCAACCAAAUCUUUAAUAUAUCAGGAAAAACAUAUGCAGCUUUUUCAUUGGUCUUCACAAAGAUCACAAGCAUUUUUGUACCAUUUUCAAAACACAACAAACAAAACUCUGUGAAUUGUAAAAUAGUCAGUUGCACACCUUAUGUCCUCAAUUAACCCCAAAUUGAUAUCUGAUGAGUUAGUAAUCCACUCAACACAGAAAAAGCCAAUUUCCUAAUUGUUCACACAGCUGUCUUAAUUACAACAACUACAAAAGGGGAAGAGAAAAACAACAAAAAAGGUGAAUGAGGAGAAAAGACAAUAAAAGAAGAAGAAUGAGCAGGGGGAAAGGCAGAGGUGUAAGAGUGAGAGGUGGAGGACAGGGUAUAGGGAGAAGAAGAGGAAGAGGAGAUGGAGCAAGAAGAUCUGAAGAUGUAGGAGAAAGAGAAAGAAGAGCUGAGGGUGUAGGAGAAAGAGAAAGAAGAGCUGAGGAUGUAGGAGAAAGAGAAAGAAGAGCUGAGGAUGUAGGAGAAAGAAGAGCUGAGGAUGUAGGAGAAAGAAGAGCUGAGGAUGUAGGAGAAAGAGAAAGAAGUGCUGAGGAUGUAGGUAGAGGAGAAAAUAGAGGAUUAGAGGGAGAAGAGAUGGAUAGAUUGGAGGGCAAUGGUAUAGUGGAAAGAGAAAGAGCAGAAAAUAGAAGAGAUGGACAGAGAGGAAGAGGAGGGCAAGGUGGAAGAGGAGGGCAAGGUGGAAGAGGAGGGAGGAGAGGUAGAAGGAUAGGGUACACACGUGUUUCAAAUGAAAUCAGAGCCACACUUAUUGACCAUGUCAUAAAUCAUGGUCUCUCACUGAGAGAAGCUGGGCAGAGAGUUCAGCCCAAUAUAAACCGAUCCACAGUGGCUUCAAUUAUCCGCACAUUUCAGAGGGAAAACCGAAUUGAGGUUAGAGAACAUUCAGGUGGACGAACAAGACUUCUUUCAAUUGAACAAGAGCAUGCCAUUGUUGACAUGGUGGUCCAGAACAACACCCUCCGACUCAAAGAAAUUCAGCAAAGAAUUACACAGGACAAUCAACUGUUCCACAUUAUCCACCAAUGCAGUCUCUCCACAAUUGAUCGUGUUUUAAGGAGAAAUGCAAUCCGAAUGAAGCAAGUAUACAAAGUGCCCUUUGAGAGGAACUCCGUUAGAGUGAAGGAGUUGCGAUUCCAGUUUGUUCAAAGAAUCUUGGAGUUGGAUAGCAGUGCAACUCAUUAUGAGUACCUGUAUAUUGAUGACGCAGGCUUCAAUCUUCACAAAAAAAGGAGAAGAGGGAGAAAUGUGAUUGGCCAUCGUGCUAUAGUCAAUGUUCCUGGACAACGAGGAGGCAACGUCACUCUCUGUGCCACAAUUUCUACAACUGGUGUUGUGGCACACAAUGCUGUCUUGGGACCAUACAACACAGCAAGGCUCCUACAUUUUUUAAACCUCCUCAAUGAAAUCCUCUUUCCGCAGGGUGAUCAGGAGCAAAUGGUGCGGAAUUUUGUAGUUGUUUGGGAGAAUGUCCAAUUCCACCAUUCAGCACUAGUGCGAGAGUGGUUUGAGAAUCACAUUUCAGGAUGGUGUUCCUUCCACCAUAUUCUCCUUUCCUGAAUCCAAUUGAGGAGUUUUUCUCCUCUUGGAGAUGGAAAGUACAUGAUCGCAACCCUUACAACCAAGUAAGUCUUCUUCAAGCGAUAGAAGAGGCCUGUGGAGAUAUUGGGGCACAAGCAUGUCAAGGAUGGAUACAGCAUUCAAGGCGUUUUUUCCCGCGAUGCAUGACUCGUGAAAAUAUUUGCUGCGAUGUUGAUGAAAUUCUCUGGCCAGAUGUAAUUGAGAGGCAUGAUCAAUAAAUUAAGUGAUUCAUUGAAUGGAAUGGAAAUUAAUUGAUUCAUUGAAUGGAAUGUAUUUACGUAUUUGCAAAAUAUAUAUAUAUAUAUAUAUUUUUGUGGGUUGACUCAUUGUUAUACACCUGAACUCCUCACUAAAGAACUUAAUGAAAAACGUGUAUUUUCAUUUAUUUCUUUGUGUAUCUUCAGCUGAAUUUGUUAUCAAAUCAAAAGAGAACACACUUUUAGUUUUGAUGCUAAUAUUGAAUUUUAAUAAAUGCAUUACUAAAAUAAAAUGCUGUGUUUUAUUGUGCAGUGAAUACUUAACUGUUUCGCUAACAUAAGAGUGUGUUUAGUUUGCUGUGUUAACUGUUUUGAGAGCUGUUACCUGAGUUUGGAGAAAUGUACCAAAUCGAUUAAGAAAAACUGUAACCCUGGGCCUAAUUUUCGUGGCACGUUGACUAUGACAAACUAAAGCCAUAUGGUAUAUACAUAAAUGGAGCGAUUUAUGGCUUUUCAAGACUUAUGGUUUGGCUUCAUGCCUAUUCAACAAACAAUAAUCCCAAAAUCAUCGCUAGUUAUUUCAUAGCAGAAGUUGAGAAGAGGAUGGGGACAGCUGCCAGAAUUUGCGCAGAUUUUGGAACAGAAAAUGUCACAAUGGUUGAGAUGCAGAUAUUCUUACGAUGGAGUAUGGAACAUCAUAUCAGUAAUAGUUACAUUUCUGGGUCCAGUACUAACAACCAACGGAUCGAAAGCUGGUGGGGCUUUUUAAGAACGCAUCAUGCCCAGUAUUGGAUGAAUCGUUUCCAGGAACUAAAAGACUGACCGUUUCUCAGGAGACUUCUUGGACAAGCAACUUGUAUUGUUUACUUGUUUGAACAUCAUUGAGGAAGAGCUGCAGCAAGUCACAUUUGUGGAUACCCACAUUAUCCGCAACAGCAGACAUGCAGUAGCUCCAAGUGGACGUCCAAUUCUAAUAAUUCUAGUACACUAUCCCUCGUCUAUUUGGAGGACAGGAUCACCUGAAAGGGAUUUCUCAGGAAGCAGUGGAGGCUUGCAAACAAGAAUGCCAACAGAAAGGACCAUUUCCUUGUGAUGAAACGGUAUUCAGCUUAUGUUGCCUUAUAAUGGCAGAGAACUUCUUACUCUCACCUACCUACCACAGCAGAUGAAGCCAUAGAGCUGUAUCUCUUCCUGAGUGCAUUCAUCCUUAAAAAUGAAUCAAUUACCCCAAGAGCUCAGGAGCAUUAAGGCGGGGCUGCAUAAUGUAAACUGAUACCUUGGCUAGUUUUGAAAGGUUUACUGAAUUUGUGAGGACAUUUUUAUAAAACUAAUCACAACUAUUUACUUUUUGUUUUCUUUCCUGAUUUGUGCAGAGGGAAAAACAGUCUAAAUGUCCUGGAUAAAAAAAAACAGAUACUACUGAGUGGUUACCCUGCUAUGAGAGAAACCUAUCUGUCUCUAACAACAGAUCAUUUUAAUUUAUGAGUUAACAAGUUCACUAAACAGGGAAGAAUAUAGGAAUAUGAACAAGUGGUUGGCCAAGGUAAUAGAAAAUGUGAGUGUGUGUUUGUGUACUUAUGUUUACCAAUACAUGUGAUUUGUGUGUCAGGAGAAGGGGCAGAACAAUGUCAACUUUCUUGUUUGUAACCCUUUAUAUUUGUUUUCACAUUGAACAACAAUUUUGUCACUGCUGUUACCAAAUACAUUUGUCAACUCUUGCGUUUCCAAUGCGGAUAUUCUGUGAAACUACUAACAGCCUCACGUAUUGAUGUUUGUGAAUUGCUCAAAUGAAAAUAAAUGACAACAUAUUUUGUAAUAAAUAAACAUAUUUAGAGAUCCAGUUACUUUAUU